Molecule: ribosomal RNA, 253 nt
Filed under: uncultured bacterium
Lineage: Bacteria
Description: partial 16S ribosomal RNA
Rfam family: Bacterial small subunit ribosomal RNA
Source: RNAcentral
UACGUAGGGCGCAAGCGUUGUCCGGAAUUAUUGGGCGUAAAGAGCUCGUAGGCGGCCUGUUGCGUCCGCUGUGAAAUCCCGGGGCUCAACCCCGGGCCUGCAGUGGAUACGGGCUGGCUAGAGGCAGGCAGGGGAGAACGGAAUUCCUGGUGUAGCGGUGAAAUGCGCAGAUAUCAGGAGGAACACCGAUGGCGAAGGCAGGUCUCUGGGCAUUAACUGACGCUGAGGAGCGAAAGCAUGGGGAGCGAACAGG